RNAcentral lists this unclassified non-coding RNA (289 nucleotides) under Hevea brasiliensis (rubber tree). The record is from RNAcentral. Lineage: Eukaryota; Viridiplantae; Streptophyta; Magnoliopsida; Malpighiales; Euphorbiaceae.
GUUCAAUUCAAUCGAUGUCAUUUUGUCAAUGCCACUCCUGUUGAUCAUCUUUGCAGAUAUGUUCACCCCGUGUUUUCAUGUAUGUGGGGGACUUCUUCUUCCAUUAUAUCAUGGAGAUAUAGAAUAAGAGAUGACAGGUCCCAAUUACUUUUGUGGGUAACGAUCAAGUGUACAGCUUUGAAGAGAAGUUAGAUUUUCAAAUCAAAAGGUUCCUUCUCUUUUCAUAAGCUGCACUAGUGCAACAUUGUUCCUGAAAAGCUUAGAUAAGGAUGGCAAUUUUACUUCAGUG